RNAcentral lists this ribosomal RNA (1520 nucleotides) under metagenome. Its description in RNAcentral is "bacterial SSU rRNA". It matches the Rfam family "Bacterial small subunit ribosomal RNA". The record is from RNAcentral.
GAGUUUGAUCAUGGCUCAGAUUGAACGCUGGCGGCAGGCCUAACACAUGCAAGUCGAACGGUAACAGGAAACAGCUUGCUGUUUCGCUGACGAGUGGCGGACGGGUGAGUAAUGUCUGGGAAACUGCCUGAUGGAGGGGGAUAACUACUGGAAACGGUAGCUAAUACCGCAUAACGUCGCAAGACCAAAGAGGGGGACCUUCGGGCCUCUUGCCAUCAGAUGUGCCCAGAUGGGAUUAGCUAGUAGGUGGGGUAACGGCUCACCUAGGCGACGAUCCCUAGCUGGUCUGAGAGGAUGACCAGCCACACUGGAACUGAGACACGGUCCAGACUCCUGCGGGAGGCAGCAGUGGGGAAUAUUGCACAAUGGGCGCAAGCCUGAUGCAGCCAUGCCGCGUGUAUGAAGAAGGCCUUCGGGUUGUAAAGUACUUUCAGCGGGGAGGAAGGGAGUAAAGUUAAUACCUUUGCUCAUUGACGUUACCCGCAGAAGAAGCACCGGCUAACUCCGUGCCAGCAGCCGCGGUAAUACGGAGGGUGCAAGCGUUAAUCGGAAUUACUGGGCGUAAAGCGCACGCAGGCGGUUUGUUAAGUCAGAUGUGAAAUCCCCGGGCUCAACCUGGGAACUGCAUCUGAUACUGGCAAGCUUGAGUCUCGUAGAGGGGGGUAGAAUUCCAGGUGUAGCGGUGAAAUGCGUAGAGAUCUGGAGGAAUACCGGUGGCGAAGGCGGCCCCCUGGACGAAGACUGACGCUCAGGUGCGAAAGCGUGGGGAGCAAACAGGAUUAGAUACCCUGGUAGUCCACGCCGUAAACGAUGUCGACUUGGAGGUUGUGCCCUUGAGGCGUGGCUUCCGGAGCUAACGCGUUAAGUCGACCGCCUGGGGAGUACGGCCGCAAGGUUAAAACUCAAAUGAAUUGACGGGGGCCCGCACAAGCGGUGGAGCAUGUGGUUUAAUUCGAUGCAACGCGAAGAACCUUACCUGGUCUUGACAUCCACGUAAGUUUUCAGAGAUGAGAAUGUGCCUUCGGGAACCGUGAGACAGGUGCUGCAUGGCUGUCGUCAGCUCGUGUUGUGAAAUGUUGGGUUAAGUCCCGCAACGAGCGCAACCCUUAUCCUUUGUUGCCAGCGGUCCGGCCGGGAACUCAAAGGAGACUGCCAGUGAUAAACUGGAGGAAGGUGGGGAUGACGUCAAGUCAUCAUGCCCUUACGACCAGGGCUACACACGUGCUACAAUGGCGCAUACAAAGAGAAGCGACCUCGCGAGAGCAAGCGGACCUCAUAAAGUGCGUCGUAGUCCGGAUUGGAGUCUGCAACUCGACUCCAUGAAGUCGGAAUCGCUAGUAAUCGUGGAUCAGAAUGCCACGGUGAAUACGUUCCCGGGCCUUGUACACACCGCCCGUCACACCAUGGGAGUGGGUUGCAAAAGAAGUAGGUAGCUUAACCUUCGGGAGGGCGCUUACCACUUUGUGAUUCAUGACUGGGGUGAAGUCGAAACAAGGUAACCGUAGGGGAACCUGCGGUUG